AAAGGAAUUGACGGGGGCCCGCACAAGCGGAGGAACAUGUGGUUUAAUUCGAUGAUACGCGAGGAACCUUACCCGGGAUUGAAAUGGAGGGGAAUGGCAGUGAAAGCUGUCAGUCAGCAAUGACCCCUUUGUAGGUGCUGCAUGGUUGUCGUCAGCUCGUGCCGUGAGGUGUCGGCUUAAGUGCCAUAACGAGCGCAACCCUGAUUGUCAGUUGCUAGCAAGUAAUGUUGAGGACUCUGACGAGACUGCCGGCGUAAGCUGUGAGGAAGGUUGGGAUGACGUCAAAUCAGCACGGCCCUUACAUCCGGGGCGACACACGUGUUACAAUGGCAGGGACAGAGGGCAGCUACCGGGCGACCGGAUGCGAAUCUCCAAACCCUGUCUCAGUUCGGAUCGGAGUCUGCAACUCGACUCCGUGAAGCCGGAUUCGCUAGUAAUCGCGCAUCAGCCAUGGCGCGGUGAAUACGUUCCCGGGCCUUGUACACACCGCCCGU
RNAcentral lists this ribosomal RNA (494 nucleotides) under uncultured bacterium. RNAcentral's name for it is "bacterial SSU rRNA". It matches the Rfam family "Bacterial small subunit ribosomal RNA", at positions 903 to 1397 of the family's 1533-position model. The record is from RNAcentral.